Molecule: ribosomal RNA, 591 nt
Filed under: uncultured bacterium
Lineage: Bacteria
Description: bacterial SSU rRNA
Rfam family: Bacterial small subunit ribosomal RNA
Source: RNAcentral
GAUGAGCCCGCGUACCAUUAGCUAGUUGGUGGGGUAACGGCCUACCAAGGCAGCGAUGGUUAGCUGGUCUGAGAGGAUGAUCAGCCACACUGGAACUGACACACGGUCCAGACUCCUACGGGAGGCAGCAGUGAGGAAUUUUGCGCAAUGGGGGGAACCCUGACGCAGCAACGCCGCGUGAGUGAAGAAGGCCUUCGGGUCGUAAAGCUCUGUCGAGUGGGAAGAACAUUUUCAUGGUGAAUAUCCAUGGGGAUUGACGGUACCACAGAAGGAAGCACCGGCUAACUCCGUGCCAGCAGCCGCGGUAAUACGGAGGGUGCGAGCGUUAUUCGGAAUUAUUGGGCGUAAAGAGCGCGUAGGCGGCCUGUCAAGUCAGGUGUGAAAUCCCGGGGCUCAACCCCGGAAGCGCAUUUGAUACUGUAGGGCUUGAGUAUGGGAGAGGGAAGUGGAAUUCCUGGUGUAGCGGUGAAAUGCGUAGAUAUCAGGAGGAACACCGGUGGCGAAGGCGGCUUCCUGGACCAAUACUGACGCUGAGGCGCGAAGGCGUGGGGAGCAAACAGGAUUAGAUACCCUGGUAGUCCACGCAGUAAA